GGUUGACUAAGAAAGUGUGAGGAGGAGAGUACACAGCUCUGUGUUAAAUAAUGAGACACCCAUAGAAUCAUAAAGGGAAGGUGACUCUGCUGCUUCCCUGGGGAGUCUGUUUCGAUGCUUAGCCACUCCAUCAGUGAUCCAAUGUCUGUGCAGGACCAGGAAUCCGUAGAUUACAUUUUCAAAGUCUUAAAACUGAUCUCUUGAGAACUUGUGGAUAGCAGCUGGGAAAACUGGGGGUGAGGAUCCCAUGGAAAACUGGAGGAAUUGCCUGAGACGUGGAAGAAUCUUAAAAAGAUUGACUUCACUGUAAAGCGUGAAGCAGUACCUCUACAGUCCAAAGAAGUGUUGGUUAUCAGAAGAAAAUGUGUACUUUUGGAGUGGCUAGUUGAUGAGUCCAGCAAUUUUCUGUGAAGUGUUGACAGUGAGCAAGACCUUUGUUUACAGAGAAAAAAAUUCGAUCAUCAGUACAUUGCAGAGGCCUGGCACUCACAGUCCCCUAUUAGCUUUAUGCAUUACUGACCUCCACAGGCAUUUCAGGGGAAGACACAGCAGGAAGAGACGAAGGUCAGAAAGUGUUACUGC
Molecule: long non-coding RNA, 582 nt
Organism: Vidua chalybeata
Lineage: Eukaryota; Metazoa; Chordata; Aves; Passeriformes; Viduidae
Exons: 4
Source: RefSeq, a predicted model, not a curated record